UACGUAGGGUGCAAGCGUUGUCCGGAAUUAUUGGGCGUAAAGAGCUCGUAGGCGGUUUGUCGCGUCUGCCGUGAAAGUCCGGGGCUCAACUCCGGAUCUGCGGUGGGUACGGGCAGACUAGAGUGAUGUAGGGGAGACUGGAAUUCCUGGUGUAGCGGUGAAAUGCGCAGAUAUCAGGAGGAACACCGAUGGCGAAGGCAGGUCUCUGGGCAGUAACUGACGCUGAGGAGCGAAAGCGUGGGGAGCGAACAGG
This 253-nucleotide ribosomal RNA is filed under the name uncultured bacterium. RNAcentral describes it as "partial 16S ribosomal RNA". It matches the Rfam family "Bacterial small subunit ribosomal RNA", at positions 524 to 776 of the family's 1533-position model. The record is from RNAcentral.